GACGAACGCUGGCGGCGUGCUUAACACAUGCCAGUCGAACGGAAAGGCCCUGCUUUUGUGGGGUGCUCUAGUUGCGAACUGGUGAGUAACACUUGAGUAACCUGCCCUUGACUUUGGGAUAACUUCAUGAAACUUGGGCUAAUACCGGAUAGGAGCUCCUGCUUCAUGGUGGGGGUUGGAAAGUUUCGGCGGUUGGGGAUGGACUCGCGUCUUAUCAGCUUGUUGGUUGGGUAGUGGCUUACCAAGGCUUUGACGGGUAGCCGGCCUGAGAGGGUGACCGGCCACAUUGGGACUGAGAUAAGGCCCAGACUACUACGGGAGGCAGCAGUGGGGAAUGUUGCACAAUGGGCGGAAGCAUGAUGCAGCAACGCAGCGUGCGGGAUGACGGCCUUCGGGUUGUAAACCGCUUUCGCCUGUGACGAAGCGUGAGUGACGGUAAUGGGUAAAGAAGCACCGGCUAACUACGUG
This 468-nucleotide ribosomal RNA is filed under the name uncultured bacterium. RNAcentral describes it as "partial 16S ribosomal RNA". It matches the Rfam family "Bacterial small subunit ribosomal RNA", at positions 28 to 507 of the family's 1533-position model. The record is from RNAcentral.